Molecule: long non-coding RNA, 465 nt
Organism: Theobroma umbraticum
Lineage: Eukaryota; Viridiplantae; Streptophyta; Magnoliopsida; Malvales; Malvaceae
Source: RefSeq, a predicted model, not a curated record
GUAGGAUUACAAACUCCUGUAGAUCUAUCUGACAGAUUGCGUAUAACUCUUAUUGGGGAGAGGAAAAAUGUGUUUGGCCUAUAACUCAAGAUCUGUUGGUUCGACAAAUAUUGGAUAAAAUUUGUUUCGAUCGGUUAAGAGACAUGCUUUUAGAAGAAAAGGAUAAAGCAAUGACAGAUGCCAAAACAAACAACAUUAGGGAUUGCAAAGGCAUGUCAAGGGAAUGGAUCAUAAAUGAAAUCUAGGAUGCUCUUAUCAAUACGGUACAGGGUACAAAAGAAUGGCAAAAUAAAUCACGAAAAGCAAGGCAAAAUCGUUUAACGCCAAAAGAAGGAAACAUUCCAAAGCACAUUGGUAGUUCAGUUCCAUUUGUUGUCAUGCAAAAAGGAUGGCAAUUGAGAUGAAAUGAAAUGUUAGCUUUUUGGAAGUGUUCAACCACACUCAUAAGCGUUUAGGGGGUCAUGG